AACGAACGCUGGCGGCAGCCCUAACACAUGCAAGUCGAGCGCGCCUUCGGGUGAGCGGCGGACGGGUUAGUAACGCGUGGGAACGUGCCCUUCUCUACGGAAUAGCCUCUGGAAACGGAGAGUAAUACCGUAUACGCCCUUUGGGGGAAAGAUUUAUCGGAGAAGGAUCGGCCCGCGUUAGAUUAGGUAGUUGGUGGGGUAACGGCCUACCAAGCCUACGAUCUAUAGCUGGUUUUAGAGGAUGAUCAGCAACACUGGGACUGAGACACGGCCCAGACUCCUACGGGAGGCAGCAGUGGGGAAUCUUAGACAAUGGGGGCAACCCUGAUCUAGCCAUGCCGCGUGAGUGAUGAAGGCCUUAGGGUCGUAAAGCUCUUUCGCCUGUGAUGAUAAUGACAGUAGCAGGUAAAGAAACCCCGGCUAACUCCGUG
RNAcentral lists this ribosomal RNA (431 nucleotides) under uncultured bacterium. RNAcentral's name for it is "bacterial SSU rRNA". It matches the Rfam family "Bacterial small subunit ribosomal RNA", at positions 29 to 507 of the family's 1533-position model. The record is from RNAcentral.